CCUACGGGCGACAGCAGUAGGGAAUCUUCCACAAUGGGCGAAAGCCUGAUGGAGCAACGCCGCGUGGGUGAAGAAGGUCUUCGGAUCGUAAAACCCUGUUGUUAGAGAAGAAAGUGCGUGAGAGUAACUGUUCACGUUUCGACGGUAUCUAACCAGAAAGCCACGGCUAACUACGUGCCAGCAGCAGCGGUAAUACGUAGGUGGCAAGCGUUAUCCGGAUUUAUUGGGCGUAAAGGGAACGCAGGCGGUCUUUUAAGUCUGAUGUGAAAGCCUUCGGCUUAACCGGAGUAGUGCAUUGGAAACUGGGAGACGUGAGUGCAGAAGAGGAGAGUGGAACUCGAUGUGUAGCGGUGAAAUGCGUAGAGAUAUGGAAGAACACCAGUGGCGAAAGCGGCUCUCUGGUCUGUAACUGACGCUGAGGUUCGAAAGCGUGGGUAGCAAACAGGAUUAGACACCCCAGUAGUC
This 465-nucleotide ribosomal RNA is filed under the name uncultured bacterium. RNAcentral's name for it is "partial 16S ribosomal RNA". It matches the Rfam family "Bacterial small subunit ribosomal RNA", at positions 338 to 795 of the family's 1533-position model. The record is from RNAcentral.